AUGGCGACGGGGGCAAUAGAAGACAUGGAGUUCCUGUGGAGGUGGCGCAAGUACCUGCUGCUAUUCGCCAUGCUGGUCGCCAGCGUCACCUACGGGGCUGGGCUGAACCCGCCGGGUGGCGUCAGGUCCGAGGACGGGGGCAACGCUUCAGAGCACCGGACAGACGGCGUCGGUGUCGACCCGCCGCUGCCCCCGCCGCCGCCGGCAGUCUACCCGUUUCUCGUCGGCGACCCGCUGCUGGCGUCAACCUACUCGCGUCAGUACACCGCCUUCUUCUACUGCAACGCCGCGGCUUUCGUGUUGUCCCUGGUGAUCAUUAUGCUCCUGCUCGACCGGCGCCUCAGCCAAAACCGCGUCGGCCUCACCGUGCUCCGCUCCGCCAUGCUGCUCGACCUGCUCGCUCUCAUGGCUGCCUUCGCAGCCGGGAGCUGCUGCGACGUCGUCGCGUCCAUCUACGUCUCGGGGCUCUUCGCCCUCGUCUUCGCCUACGUCGCCCUCCACCUCUGCGUGUCCACCUCCCGCGCGGACAGCCACCUCGAGGAGCAGCGGCGCAGGUACCCGCUGCUGCUCGCCACCUUUGCAACGCCUCUCACGUACAGCGCCGGGCUAACGCCUCCGGGAGGCUUCUGGAGCAAGACCGUGGCUGGGCACCACACUGGCGACCCGCUGCUGCACGACGGGUCCUACAAGAUUGGCUACCAAGCAUUCUUCUACGCCAACGCAAUCUCCUUCGUGGCAUCCCUCGCCAUGGCCAUGAUGGCCAUGAGCCCGACGUUGAGCGGUCGACUCGUCCGAUCCUACGCGUUGCCGGUGUGCAUCCUGGUGGAGCUGCUCGGCCUCAUGGCCGCCUACGCCACCGGGAGCUGCAGAUGGCCCACCUCAACGGUGUACGUCUUCUCCCUUGGCGGCGCUGUGCUCCUAUACAUCGUGCUGCAGAUGGUCGUCGCGACGUGCGCCAUGGAGACGCUCAAGCAAUUGCGUGGAACGGUCUGCCGCAUACUGUCAUGCGCCGACCGGCCAGAAGAAGAAGAAGAAGGAGAAGGAGAAGAAGAAGAAGAAGAAGAAGAAGAAGAAGGAGAAGGAGAAGGAGAAGGGACGUCGCGAUGUAGCAUUGUAGACGGCUACAAUGUGGAGGCAGAGGCUAAGGUGGAUGAGUCGCGGGCACUUCUGCUGCUGCUGGCCACGCUCGCAGCAACGGUGACCUACCAGGCAGGGCUGAGCCCGCCGGGCGGUGUCUGGCCAGAUAACAACGACCAAGGGCAUCCACACCACAUCGCGGGGAACCCGGUUCUCCUCGAUAUGCACCCCAAGAGGUACAAGGCCUUUUACUACUGCAACACGUGGGCGUUUGUGGCGUCGUUGGUCAUCAUUAUCAUCCUCCAGAGCAAGGAGUUGAGCUCGGCCGCCAACAUUAGACGCGCCGCGCUCAAGACAGCCAUGGUGCUGGAGCUGUUCGGGCUCAUGGGUGCCUACGUUGCCGGUGGCUGCCGGGACACCACCACCAGCAUCUAUGUCUUUGUCGUGGCCAUCGCUAUGUUUGUCUACUCUAUCGCCAUGGUCAUGGUGUACACGGCUCAUGGGCAGAGCCGGCUGAUGAAGUGGGUGCACCGCAUGUCGGACAAGCUUGGAGGGGUGUUCCACUUGCACUCCCGUUAUGGCUCCGAGAGUGGCGCACAAGAUGAUAAUCGCCUCGAGAGGAAGCGCCAAUUCUUGCUGCAGCUCUCCAGCCUCGCCGCCACCGUCACGUACCAAAUCGGGCUUAACCCACCUGGCGGGUUCUGGACGGAGAGUGACAGGGACAGAUCAGUCACCGCCGGCGACCCCGUCCUCCUCGACCACUACGUGUUAGGCAGCUGCCGGCAAUUGCGCACCUCCAUCUAUGUCCUUGCGCUCGUGGCCGCGGUGGUCGCCUUCCUCGUCCUGCAUUUCAUAUUACUAGUGUCGGCGGGCCAUUGGUCGUUGCUGCAAUGGCUUCCACAACAGCUGAAGAGGCUGUUCGAGCCGCUGCCCGUACUGCAGUUGGCCAACGAGAACCAAAGGAAUGUGCUCUCCCUCUCCGGCAAGCAACAACACCGAAAACUAAUGCGCUUGAUGGUUCUCGGUGUCCUUGCGGCGACUGUCACGUACCAGUCGGGUCUCACGCCUCCUGGGGGCACGUGGGGCGACGACAAUGAUACCGGGUCGUCAUGGUCCCCAUCGGCGUACCCGCUCAUUGUUGCAGGCAACCCGAUCCUGAUGGACACCAACCCAGAACGGUACCAGGCCUUCUUCUAUUGUAACUCGACAUCAUUCAUGGCCUCCAUCGUUGUCAUCAUGCUGGUGCUGCAGCACGCCGUGAUGCGACGUGGCAUGCCGCUUUGGGUGAUGCAGACCGCUGUGGUGCUGGACCUGCUCGGUUUGCUGGGCGCCUACACUGCUGGCAGCUGCAGGGAUUGGGAGACGUCCGCGUGCGUCAUGGGGCUCAUUGCUGCGGUGGUCGUCUUCAUCACGAUCUACGCGGUGUUGUCUAAAAAGAAAAUAAUAUCAUGGAAGUGCUUGGGAGAAAAUCAUAGUGAUGACGUUCAGUUCAGCCGCAAUGUGUAA
RNAcentral lists this ribosomal RNA (2583 nucleotides) under Triticum aestivum (bread wheat). Its description in RNAcentral is "partial small subunit ribosomal RNA". The record is from RNAcentral. Lineage: Eukaryota; Viridiplantae; Streptophyta; Magnoliopsida; Poales; Poaceae.